GUCUGCAGCUAUACUAUCUUGAAUACACCCUAUCUCAUCUGAUCUUGGAAGCUAAGCAGGGUCAGGCCUGUAUAGUAUUUGGAUGGGAGACUUGAUUUAUACCAAUGGAUGUGCAGGGG
Ribosomal RNA from Erinaceus europaeus (western European hedgehog), 119 nucleotides. NCBI's taxonomy places the organism in Eukaryota, Metazoa, Chordata, Mammalia, Eulipotyphla, Erinaceidae. The record is from Ensembl.